GGGCUUAACUGUCUCCCCCUUUCAGUCAGUGAAAUUGAUCUAUCCGUGCAGAAGCGGGUAUAACAAUACAAGACGAGAAGACCCUUUGGAGCUUAAGGUACAAGAUUCAGCCACGUUAAACAACUCCAUAGAAAGCAAGAACUUAGUGGCCCUGAAAUUUUACCUUCGGUUGGGGCGACCACGGAGGAGAAAUGAGCCUCCGAGUGGACUGGGCCAAACCCCUAAAGCCAAGAGAAACAUCUCUAAGCCGCAGAACAUCUGACCAAUGAUGAUCCGGCUGAAAAGCCGAUCAACGAACCAAGUUACCCUAGGGAUAACAGCGCAAUCCUCUCCCAGAGCCCAUAUCGACGAGGGGGUUUACGACCUCGAUGUUGGAUCAGGACAUCCUAAUGGUGCAGCCGCUAUUAAGGGUUCGUUUGUUCAACGAUUAAAGUCCUACGUGAUCUGAGUUCAGACCGGAGCAAUCCAGGUCAGUUUCUAUCUGUAACGCUACUUUUCCCAGUACGAAAGGAUCGGAAAAGAGGGGCCUAUCUUGAGGCAUGCCCCACCCCUAAUUGAUGAAAACAAAUAAAUUAAGUAAAGGGGGGCCCNNGCCCCUACCGCC
RNAcentral lists this ribosomal RNA (604 nucleotides) under Rhinichthys cataractae (longnose dace). RNAcentral describes it as "partial 16S ribosomal RNA". It matches the Rfam family "Bacterial large subunit ribosomal RNA", at positions 2008 to 2827 of the family's 2925-position model. Lineage: Eukaryota; Metazoa; Chordata; Actinopteri; Cypriniformes; Leuciscidae. The record is from RNAcentral.